CACAUGCAAGUCGAACGGUAACAUUGGGUGCUUGCACCAGAUGACGAGUGGCGCACGGGUGCGUAACGCGUAUGCAAUCUACCUUUUACUGAAGAAUAGCCCAGAGAAAUUUGGAAUAAUCCUUCAUAACAUCAUUUAUCAGCAUUGAUUUAUGAUUAAAGCUCCGGCGGUAAAAGAUGAGCAUGCGUCCUAUUAGUUUGUUGGUGAGGUAACGGCUCACCAAGACUACGAUAGGUAGGGGCCCUGAGAGGGGGAUCCCCCACACUGGUACUGAGACACGGACCAGACUCCUACGGGAGGCAGCAGUGAGGAAUAUUGGACAAUGGAGGCAACUCUGAUCCAGCCAUGCCGCGUGCAGGAUGACUGCCCUAUGGGUUGUAAACUGCUUUUAUAUAGGAAGAAACACUCCCACGUGUGGGGGCUUGACGGUACUAUAUGAAUAAGGAUCGGCUAACUCCGUGCCAGCAGCCGCGGUAAUACGGAGGAUCCAAGCGUUAUCCGGAAUCAUUGGGUUUAAAGGGUCCGCAGGCGGCCUGUUAAGUCAGAGGUGAAAGCCAACAGCUCAACUGUUGAACUGCCUUUGAUACUGAUAGGCUUGAGUUAUUGUGAAGUGGUUAGAAUGUGUGGUGUAGCGGUGAAAUGCUUAGAUAUCACACAGAAUACCCAUUGCGAAGGCAGAUCACUAACAAUAUACUGAC
This 698-nucleotide ribosomal RNA is filed under the name uncultured Bacteroidota bacterium. RNAcentral describes it as "bacterial SSU rRNA". It matches the Rfam family "Bacterial small subunit ribosomal RNA", at positions 52 to 744 of the family's 1533-position model. Lineage: Bacteria; Pseudomonadati; Bacteroidota. The record is from RNAcentral.